UGGUGGCAAGUAAUUUAGUCAUUGGUUGUUCAGAUGUGUAUGCCUUGAUGGACCCUGGUGCAUCUCAUUCUUUUAUUGCUUCGAGAGCCGUUCAGAGGUUGGGGUUGAUGAUCUCUGAGUUAGAGUGUCCUCUCUGGGUCAGUGGACCCAAGUGUGAUCCAUCAGUGGCAGAGUCAGUCUGCCAGUGCAGUCCAAUCUUUGUUGAGGGAAGAUGCCUUUCCACCGACCUUGUGGUUCUAGACUUGACAGAUUUUGACGUCAUUCUAGGGAUGGAUUGGUUAUCUACCCAUGGUGCUACCUUGGACUACAGGGACAAGGUAGUCAGGUUCAGAGGUCA
This 337-nucleotide long non-coding RNA is filed under the name Manihot esculenta (cassava). RNAcentral's name for it is "long non-coding RNA (MESC_LNC004718)". Lineage: Eukaryota; Viridiplantae; Streptophyta; Magnoliopsida; Malpighiales; Euphorbiaceae. The record is from RNAcentral.